ACGAACGCUGGCGGCAUGCCUAACACAUGCAAGUCGAACGAAGCCCCCGACUUCGGUUGGGUGCUUAGUGGCGCACGGGUGCGUAACGCGUGGGAAUCUGCCCUUCGGUUCGGAACAACAGUUAGAAAUGACUGCUAAUACCGGAUAAUGACGUAAGUCCAAAGAUUUAUCGCCGAAGGAUGAGCCCGCGUAGGAUUAGCUAGUUGGUAAGGUAAAAGCUUACCAAGGCGACGAUCCUUAGCUGGUCUGAGAGGAUGAUCAGCCACACUGGGACUGAGACACGGCCCAGACUCCUACGGGAGGCAGCAGUGGGGAAUAUUGGACAAUGGGCGAAAGCCUGAUCCAGCAAUGCCGCGUGAGUGAUGAAGGCCCUAGGGUUGUAAAGCUCUUUUACCCGGGAUGAUAAUGACAGUACCGGGAGAAUAAGCUCCGGCUAACUCCGU
This 443-nucleotide ribosomal RNA is filed under the name uncultured bacterium. RNAcentral's name for it is "bacterial SSU rRNA". It matches the Rfam family "Bacterial small subunit ribosomal RNA", at positions 29 to 506 of the family's 1533-position model. The record is from RNAcentral.